GCAUAUCAAUAAGCGGAGGAAAAGAAAAUAACAAUGAUUUCCCUAGUAACGGCGAGUGAAGAGGAAAGAGCUCAAAGUUGGAAACUGUUUGGCUUAGCUAAACCGUAUUGUAAACUGUAGAAACAUUUUCCUGGCACGCCGGAUUAAUAAGUCCUUUGGAACAAGGCAUCAUGGAGGGUGAGAAUCCCGUCUUUGAUCCGAGUAGUUGUCUUUUGUGAUAUGUUUUCAAAGAGUCAGGUUGUUUGGGAAUGCAGCCUAAAUUGGGUGGUAAAUCUCACCUAAAGCUAAAUAUUUGCGAGAGACCGAUAGCGAACAAGUACCGUGAGGGAAAGAUGAAAAGAACUUUGAAAAGAGAGUUAAACAGUAUGUGAAAUUGUUAAAAGGGAACCGUUUGGAGCCAGACUGGUUUGACUGUAAUCAACCUAGAAUUCGUUCUGGGUGCACUUGCAGUCUAUACCUGCCAACAACAGUUUGAUUUGGAGGAAAAAAUUAGUAGGAAUGUAGCCUCUCGAGGUGUUAUAGCCUACUAUCAUACUCUGGAUUGGACUGAGGAACGCAGCGAAUGCCAUUAGGCGAGAUUGCUGGGUGCUUUCGCUAAUAAAUGUUAGAAUUUCUGCUUCGGGUGGUGCUAAUGUUUAAAGGAGGAACACAUCUAGUAUAUUUUUUAUUCGCUUAGGUUGUUGGCUUAAUGACUCUAAAUGACCCGUCUUGAAACACGGACCAAGGAGUCCACCAUAAGUGCAAGUAUUUGAGUGACAAACUCAUAUGCGUAAGGAAACUGAUUGAUACGAAAUCUUUUGAUGGCAGUAUCACCCGGCGUUGACGUUUUAUACUGAACUGACCGAGGUAAAGCACUUAUGAUGGGACCCGAAAGAUGGUGAACUAUGCCUGAAUAGGGUGAAGCCAGAGGAAACUCUGGUGGAGGCUCGUAGCGAUUCUGACGUGCAAAUCGAUCGUCAAAUUUGGGUAUAGGGGCGAAAGACUAAUCGAACCAUCUAGUAGCUGGUUCCUGCC
Molecule: ribosomal RNA, 1014 nt
Filed under: Mucor circinelloides
Lineage: Eukaryota; Fungi; Mucoromycota; Mucoromycetes; Mucorales; Mucoraceae
Description: LSU rRNA
Rfam family: Eukaryotic large subunit ribosomal RNA
Source: RNAcentral